RNAcentral lists this ribosomal RNA (330 nucleotides) under uncultured bacterium. RNAcentral's name for it is "bacterial SSU rRNA". It matches the Rfam family "Bacterial small subunit ribosomal RNA", at positions 568 to 898 of the family's 1533-position model. The record is from RNAcentral.
CGCGUAGGUGGUAGUGUAAGUCUGAGGUGGAAUCCCAGGGCUUAACCCUGGAACUGCCUUGGAAACUGCAUUACUUGAGUCAGUGAGGGGAGGGUAGAAUUCCUGGUGUAGCGGUGAAAUGCGUAGAUAUCAGGAGGAAGGCCUGUGGCGAAGGCGGCCCUCUGGUGCUGGACUGACACUGAGGCGCGAAAGCGUGGGGAGCAAACAGGAUUAGAUACCCUGGUAGUCCACACCCUAAACGGUGGGCACUAGGUGUAGGGCUCGUAAGGGUUCUGUGCCGAAGGGAAACCAUUAAGUGCCCCGCCUGGGGAGUACGGCCGCAAGGUUGAA